This 107-nucleotide small nucleolar RNA is filed under the name Oryza barthii. RNAcentral describes it as "Plant small nucleolar RNA R71". It matches the Rfam family "Plant small nucleolar RNA R71". From Rfam's summary of the family: R71 is a member of the C/D box family of snoRNAs containing the C (UGAUGA) and D (CUGA) box motifs. Multiple nearly identical copies of this snoRNA have been identified in Arabidopsis, and it is thought to function as a 2'-O-ribose methylation guide for 18S ribosomal RNA. Lineage: Eukaryota; Viridiplantae; Streptophyta; Magnoliopsida; Poales; Poaceae. The record is from Rfam by way of RNAcentral.
AUCCCAUGAUGAGGACAAGCGGCCACAUACUCCUGCAGUCGUUCCCAUGCCUCUAGAAUGGACUCGUCCCUUGUUUGCUGGAAACUGGAAAUUCGUCCACGAAGGGC